AGUCCCGUGGUGUAGUGGUCAAGCAUACAGGCCUUUGGAGCCUGUGACGGCGGUUCGAAUCCGCCCGGGACUA
RNAcentral lists this transfer RNA (73 nucleotides) under Candidatus Methanoxibalbensis ujae. Its description in RNAcentral is "tRNA-Gln". It matches the Rfam family "tRNA". Rfam says of the family: Transfer RNA (tRNA) molecules are approximately 80 nucleotides in length. Their secondary structure includes four short double-helical elements and three loops (D, anti-codon, and T loops). Further hydrogen bonds mediate the characteristic L-shaped molecular structure. tRNAs have two regions of fundamental functional importance: the anti-codon, which is responsible for specific mRNA codon recognition, and the 3' end, to which the tRNAs corresponding amino acid is attached (by aminoacyl-tRNA synthetases). tRNAs cope with the degeneracy of the genetic code in two manners: having more than one tRNA (with a specific anti-codon) for a particular amino acid; and 'wobble' base-pairing, i.e. permitting non-standard base-pairing at the 3rd anti-codon position. Lineage: Archaea; Methanobacteriati; Methanobacteriota; Methanomicrobia; Candidatus Methanophagales; Candidatus Methanospirareceae. The record is from RNAcentral.